RNAcentral lists this small RNA (371 nucleotides) under Pongo abelii (Sumatran orangutan). Its description in RNAcentral is "sense intronic". The record is from RNAcentral. Lineage: Eukaryota; Metazoa; Chordata; Mammalia; Primates; Hominidae.
CCCCAGAAGCAGUUCCUCUUCCUGCCUCUUCUAUGGAUCUGGGUUUAUUGUUUUUGUUUGUUUAUUUCUCUCGUUUUCCAGUCAAUUCUUGCGCCUUUGUAUCUUGGUUGUUUUUGAUUGACAUUGCCCAGGAAAGCUUGUAAGGAGAUUUUGACGCUUUGCAGUGCUGAUAGGAGCGUUCACCUGGAUCCAAUCAGGGAUGAAUUUAUUGGAAACCGGGCUUGCUGCAGUGGCAUGAUAUCAGCUCACUGCAACCUCCGCCUCCCCGGUUCAAGUGAUUCUCCUGCCUCAGCCUCCCGAGUAGCUGGGAUUACAGGUGCACGCCACCAAGCCCGGCUAAUUUUUGCAUUUUUAGUAGAGACGAGGUUUCA